Molecule: ribosomal RNA, 253 nt
Filed under: uncultured bacterium
Lineage: Bacteria
Description: partial 16S ribosomal RNA
Rfam family: Bacterial small subunit ribosomal RNA
Source: RNAcentral
UACGUAGGUGGCAAGCGUUGUCCGGAAUUACUGGGCGUAAAGGGCGCGUAGGCGGCUUGACAAGUCACUUGUGAAAUCUCCGGGCUUAACUCGGAACGGCCAAGUGAUACUGCAGUGCUAGAGUGUGGAAGGGGCAAUCGGAAUUCUUGGUGUAGCGGUGAAAUGCGUAGAUAUCAAGAGGAACACCUGAGGUGAAGACGGGUUGCUGGGCCAACACUGAUGCUGAGGCGCGAAAGCCAGGGGAGCAAACGGG